Magnolia sinica is the source of this 2019-nucleotide long non-coding RNA. RefSeq lists it as uncharacterized. NCBI's taxonomy places the organism in Eukaryota, Viridiplantae, Streptophyta, Magnoliopsida, Magnoliales, Magnoliaceae. The record is from RefSeq and is a predicted model, not a curated record. The transcript has 4 exons.
AAGAUCUCUAUUAUCAGUGAAGAAAUUGGAUCUUUCUGUCAUGAUUUUUGAAUUUAUUGCCUCAUUUGCUGCAUUUCCUGUGUUUUUACUCUCGUUUAUCCAUUUAGGGUUUUGUUUAUGUGGUUAAAACUGUUUAAUAACAUCCAUUAUAUGAGCCCCCUCAAUAUCUCCUUAGCACGCCAAAAUAAAAAUUUAAGUCGAUCCAAACUCAGGUGGGCCACCAUGUAAAAUCAUGCCUAAAGCAUCUCAAAUCACGUGGUGUGGCCCACCUUAGUCUUGGAAUGGACUGAUGUUUGGUGUGUCCGUCUAUCCUGCUUGGGUGCAUCUUCCAAAUGGAUUGGAUGGCAGAUUUGAAACACGAUGGCUCUACAUAUAAUGUGGAAAGUUUUUAAUGAUGAGCAACCUCACCUCAACUGCCCCCUAUGGUUUGGCCCACCAGAGCUUUGGGUUGGUCUGAUUUUUCGGCACCAACGAGAUUGCAAGGUGGAUGGAUUGCAACACGCAAAUGGUAUCCAGCAUCAAAGAAUGUUGUUGGAAGCUUUUUGCAGUUCUGAUUUUUCUUUUUUGUUGGUUUGAUAUUCUUUGAUAUUGAUAUGUAAACUCCAAGAACUGCAACAUUUGUUGUUUGCUACAGAGGACUUGGAUGAUACUGUGGCAGGGUAUGGUGGAUGAUAAUCAUUCAUGUAACCACCAUGCACAUGGUCUGCAUUUUGCUUUUUGUGGAUAUGUUUCAACUCCGACUGUCCAAAUUAUGGUAGUGCUGUAAUGGAGUGUAUGUUGGAUUGAUUAUAAUUCUUCCAUCAUUGGGAAUCAGCUGGCUAGCUAGAAUGAGAAAUUCCCAACUGAUAGAAUUCAAUAGGCAUGUCCAUUGAUUGGACAUUAUGAUUGUCAAGUCAGUGUGUUUUUGUGGCAAUGACCCACCCCAGUGGGUCCACACAUUGGACUGCCUGGAGUGAGUACGUGUCUGUAUCUUCCAGGUGGAUUCAUGCACAAUAUGGUCCAUCAUACUCUGCCCUCAGUAUCGUACAAUUCUUCUUUUCUAAAAAUGCAUGCAUGGAAUCACCACUGUUUAUGAAUAGCUACAGAUAUUCUUCUAAUUGCAUUAUAAUACAAAGUGCUCUGCCCUUCUGAAACAAUCAUGGAUAAUUCACGAAAUUUUUUAGGAAAAAGGAUUUUACUGAGUAAUUCACAAAUUAUCUGCCAGCUAUGAAUUAUUCACAAAUGAGUGUCAAGCUAACUUCAUAAGCAACAAGGGACCUGAGCUGUUGACUAUGUGGUUUGGACAGAGUGAGGCUAAUGUGAGGGAGAUAUUUGAUAAAGCUCGCCAAUCAGCUCCGUGUGUGCUUUUCUUUGAUGAGCUUGAUUCAAUUGCAACCCAGUGUGCACAGAGAGUUGGUGCAAACACAUCUUCGAAGUCCCACCAUCCAACAAUUUGUGGGUGGGAAUAUUAGCAUGCAUUUCAAACUUGAGUAUUAAGAAUUCAAAUUUCAAAAUGCCUAUGAAUUCCUGCCAGCUGCCAUUAAAUGGUGGGAGUUGAUGAAUUGUUUGGUCCUUCUAUAUGAUGGUUGGCUUUAAUGUAUAUUUUUUAGUUGUGGCAGUGUAAAUUUUUUAGUCCACAGAAAUCUCAUCGAGGGGCCAAAGCAUUUGGAUAUGUUUGAAGUUGAUUCACGCUUCCACUGCCGCCAUUUCUAGGACUGAUUGACGCCUCACCUGCACUAGUACCUACAUGGUUAGAAGCUCAUAUUGGAUGAAAAUGGCUGUCGAUCGAAGUCUACAGGCAUGCUCCAUCCACACCGAGAUCCAUCAAGUCAAGUCUGGAUUACCACCUGCACUGCUUGUAGAGACCCAAGACAAUUUUCACACCCCGAUGCACCAUGGUGCCCAUUGCUUCUGUUCUACUCAUGGAUGCUUGACUUUCACUCCGCUUGCUCCCUACUCUACUGUCAGUGCUCUUGUCCCUUUGAUCCUCAUGAUCAAGGUCAGCAUGGUGAAAGAGGCCAUCGAAUAUUGGAAGCGGAA